GCGGCCAUGGCACAAUCCGGUACUGCGGCGGUCUUGAAAACCGCUUUCCGAAAGGAUAUCCCGGUUCAAAUCCGGGUGGCCGCG
This 84-nucleotide transfer RNA is filed under the name Candidatus Woesearchaeota archaeon. Its description in RNAcentral is "tRNA-Ser". It matches the Rfam family "tRNA". From Rfam's summary of the family: Transfer RNA (tRNA) molecules are approximately 80 nucleotides in length. Their secondary structure includes four short double-helical elements and three loops (D, anti-codon, and T loops). Further hydrogen bonds mediate the characteristic L-shaped molecular structure. tRNAs have two regions of fundamental functional importance: the anti-codon, which is responsible for specific mRNA codon recognition, and the 3' end, to which the tRNAs corresponding amino acid is attached (by aminoacyl-tRNA synthetases). tRNAs cope with the degeneracy of the genetic code in two manners: having more than one tRNA (with a specific anti-codon) for a particular amino acid; and 'wobble' base-pairing, i.e. permitting non-standard base-pairing at the 3rd anti-codon position. The record is from RNAcentral. Lineage: Archaea; Nanobdellati; Candidatus Woesearchaeota.